ACACAGACACAUCUUUUCCUGGGGGCUCACUGUCUUGCUGUGCUUUUCUUGGCAGAACGCAGAGCCUGAGCCCCGGAGCCUGUCCCUGGGUGGCCAUGUGGGCUUCGACAGCCUCCCUGACCAGCUGGUCAGCAAGUCAGUCACUCAGGGCUUCAGCUUCAACAUUCUCUGUGUGGGUAAGUGACUUGGUCAGUGGCAGAAGAUGGACGAGACUCUUUGGAGCCAGUGCUCUGUUGUGCUGGCCUCCUACGAAGCUGGGCUGAGGGGCUCCCAAGUGGAGAGAGAUCUUGGGUCCGGGAUUUAGUUUUGCCUCUGCCAGGGUCAAGAAUGGGAUUAAGAUACAGGAUCUGUCUCAGAGUUGGCACAAAGAGGAAACAGAAGUGGUCCCGUGAAAAGUGCUGUCUAAACACUAAAGAUGGGUGUUUAUCAUUAGAGAGUCACAGUCACUAGUUCACUCAUUUCUUU
Molecule: long non-coding RNA, 465 nt
Filed under: Rattus norvegicus (Norway rat)
Lineage: Eukaryota; Metazoa; Chordata; Mammalia; Rodentia; Muridae
Description: long non-coding RNA NONRATT004261
Source: RNAcentral